RNAcentral lists this ribosomal RNA (806 nucleotides) under uncultured bacterium. RNAcentral's name for it is "bacterial SSU rRNA". It matches the Rfam family "Bacterial small subunit ribosomal RNA", at positions 8 to 812 of the family's 1533-position model. The record is from RNAcentral.
AGAGUUUGAUCCUGGCUCAGGAUGAACGCUGGCGGCGUGCUUAACACAUGCAAGUCGAACGAAGCACUUCAAUCGAUUUCUUCGGAAUGAAGUUUUAGUGACUGAGUGGCGGACGGGUGAGUAACGCGUGGGUAACCUGCCUCACACAGGGGGAUAACAGUUAGAAAUGACUGCUAAUACCGCAUAAGACCACAGCACCGCAUGGUGCGGGGGUAAAAACUCCGGUGGUAUGAGAUGGACCCGCGUCUGAUUAGCUAGUUGGUAAGGUAACGGCUUACCAAGGCGACGAUCAGUAGCCGACCUGAGAGGGUGACCGGCCACAUUGGGACUGAGACACGGCCCAAACUCCUACGGGAGGCAGUAGUGGGGAAUAUUGCACAAUGGGGGAAACCCUGAUGCAGCGACGCCGCGUGAGCGAAGAAGUAUUUCGGUAUGUAAAGCUCUAUCAGCAGGGAAGAAGAAAUGACGGUACCUGACUAAGAAGCACCGGCUAAAUACGUGCCAGCAGCCGCGGUAAUACGUAUGGUGCAAGCGUUAUCCGGAUUUACUGGGUGUAAAGGGAGCGCAGGCGGAAGGCUAAGUCUGAUGUGAAAGCCCGGGGCUCAACCCCGGUACUGCAUCGGAAACUGGUCAUCUAGAGUGUCGGAGGGGUAAGUGGAAUUCCUAGUGUAGCGGUGAAAUGCGUAGAUAUUAGGAGGAACACCAGUGGCGAAGGCGGCUUACUGGACGAUAACUGACGCUGAGGCUCGAAAGCGUGGGGAGCAAACAGGAUUAGAUACCCUGGUAGUCCACGCCGUAAACGAUGA